UGGUGUGAUGUCGAGCAGGAGAAAAGAAGAAGAGGGAGCCAAUUUCAUCAUGACAAUCACAAAAUUGGAUGGUUAAAACUCCAACUCUGCUCUCUUUGAUCAAUUUCUAGCAUUCUUGGUGAAAUAAUGUCUGGAUGGCAACGGGUCAAACGAGUAAUAAAGCAACAACACUCCAACGGGCGAAGGAGCUAAUGCAUAGGAUGAUCGUGACACGCUAGGGUGGACUUGGGCCUUAGUGAUAUA
Molecule: long non-coding RNA, 243 nt
Filed under: Helianthus annuus (common sunflower)
Lineage: Eukaryota; Viridiplantae; Streptophyta; Magnoliopsida; Asterales; Asteraceae
Description: sRNA HanXRQr2_Chr10g0454831
Source: RNAcentral